AGAACUAGGAGAGCUCUGUGUAAAUACUGGACUUGUACUCAAUUCUCCAACAGAACUCGCCAGUGCUAAUCAAUGUGAACCUGGGUCGGCAUUCCAGGGACUCAAAGGCUCAGAAUACUGACUUUACAGAAAAAAUGAAUGGGACAGAUGCGACUUGUGUGUAUUUUCUCAGUAUUCAGAUCUCUCAGCCCUGGCUUUCAAAGCUGUGGAGUGUGACAAUGGUGUUUGUGUGACUGAUAUCAAACGCCAUUAUCACACUAAAUAGCUAUGGUAAGACACUUUGCUUCUUCCACCUGUCAAAACCUUGUGACUGAAAGAUUCUACACUGGCUCACCCAAAGCCCAAAUGAAUGUUCUGUAUAAAGUGUUCAGUACAGACCCUCUCAUGUACUGUAUAUGUGCUGAAGGAGUAUAAUACAGCUUUCCAAAGUCUGGACUCAACAAACCAUUGUUUGCCAUCUACAUUAUGAGUUUACAAAGAAAUAUGCUUGCGUUCUUCCUGUGCUUUUGAAGACAAGUUGUGAGUGAGCAAAAUGUGUAUUUUAAAAAAAUCUUAAAGCUCAUACUGUAAAUGUGUCUUCAUCAACAACAAUGUGCAAAGGUGUGGGGGGGUAAUGUGUAAUUAUAUGGGCUUAGUGUAAUUGUGGUUGGGUAAAUAUAUAGGGCUCUGGUGUAGUUGUGUGAAUUUCUGUAGGAGUGGUGUGAAAAUAAAACGUACACUACUUAUA
Molecule: long non-coding RNA, 727 nt
Organism: Lepisosteus oculatus (spotted gar)
Lineage: Eukaryota; Metazoa; Chordata; Actinopteri; Semionotiformes; Lepisosteidae
Source: RefSeq, a predicted model, not a curated record